UAAGGGCGCACGGUGGAUGCCUUGGUACCAGGAGCCGAUGAAGGACGUGUCUGGCCGCGAUAGGCCCCGGGGAGCCGCCGAGAGGGCUUGGAUCCGGGGGUGUCCGAAUGGGGGAACCCGGCACCCGUCAUGGGGUGUCACCCUCGCCUGAAUGUAUAGGGCGAGUGGAGGGAACCCGGGGAAGUGAAACAUCUCAGUACCCGGUGGAAGAGAAAACAACAUGUGAUUCCGUGAGUAGUGGCGAGCGAAAGCGGAUCUAGCCUAAACCUUGUGCGUGUGAUACCCGGCAGGGGUUGCGUGUGAGGGGUUGUGGGACGUGCCUGACGGGUCUGCCGGCCCGUCGACGAGUCAGAAACCUGUGGUGUAGUCGAACGGCAUGCGAGUGGCCGACCGUAGUGGGUGAGAGUCCCGUAGACGACAUGCUGCAGGCUCGUGGUGCUGUUCCCGAGUAGCGCGGGGCCCGUGAAAUCCCGUGUGAAUCUGCCAGGACCACCUGGUAAGGCUGAAUACUUCCUGGUGACCGAUAGUGCACGAGUACCGUGAGGGAAGGGUGAAAAGUACCCCGGGAGGGGAGUGAAAGAGUUCCUGAAACCGUGUGCCUACAAUCCGUCGGAGCGUCGUUCCACCCGUUGGGGUGGGGCCGUGACGGCGUGCCUUUUGAAGAAUGAGCCUGCGAGUUAGUGGCGUGUGGCGAGGUUAACCCGUGUGGGGUAGCCGUAGCGAAAGCGAGUCCGAUAAGGGCGUUGAGUCGCGCGUUCUAGACCCGAAGCGGAGUGAUCUAGCCAUGGGCAGGGUGAAGCGCCGGUAAGACGGUGUGGAGGCCCGAACCCACCAGGGUUGAAAACCUGGGGGAUGACCUGUGGUUAGGGGUGAAAGGCCAAUCAAACUCCGUGAUAGCUGGUUCUCCCCGAAAUGCAUUUAGGUGCAGCGUUGCGUGUGCGUGCCGGAGGUAGGGCGCUGGAUGGCCGAUGGGCCCGACCAGGUUACUGACGUCAGCCAAACUUCGAAUGCCGGUACGUUGAGCGUGGCAGUGAGACUGUGGGGGAUAAGCUCCAUGGUCGAGAGGGAAACAGCCCAGAGCAUCGACUAAGGCCCCUAAGCGCGUGCUAAGUGGGAAAGGAUGUGGGACCGCGGUGACAACCAGGAGGUUGGCUUAGAAGCAGCCACCCUUGAAAGAGUGCGUAAUAGCUCACUGGUCAAGUGGUUCCGCGCCGACAAUGUAGCGGGGCUCAAGUACGCCGCCGAAGUCGUGUCAACGCCAUGAGCCCGUCGUCACCUGAGACGUGGCGGCCAGGUGUGGUGUUGGGUAGGGGAGCGUCGCAUGUCCGGUGAAGCGGCCGCGUGAGCGAGUCGUGGAGGGCAUGCGAGUGAGAAUGCAGGCAUGAGUAGCGAAUCCACGGUGAGAAUCCGUGGC
This 1414-nucleotide ribosomal RNA is filed under the name Actinospica durhamensis. Its description in RNAcentral is "Bacterial large subunit ribosomal RNA". It matches the Rfam family "Bacterial large subunit ribosomal RNA", at positions 12 to 1335 of the family's 2925-position model. Lineage: Bacteria; Bacillati; Actinomycetota; Actinomycetes; Catenulisporales; Actinospicaceae. The record is from Rfam by way of RNAcentral.